This 87-nucleotide transfer RNA is filed under the name Lentibacillus kapialis. Its description in RNAcentral is "tRNA-Leu". The record is from RNAcentral. Lineage: Bacteria; Bacillati; Bacillota; Bacilli; Caryophanales; Bacillaceae.
UAUUUGUGCUGGGACGGUUGGACUCCUGACAUUUCAGGUGUUUCAGAAUAUCGCAAUGACAAUUGGUUUGAUGCCAAUCACAGGUGU